Molecule: long non-coding RNA, 549 nt
Filed under: Olea europaea subsp. europaea
Lineage: Eukaryota; Viridiplantae; Streptophyta; Magnoliopsida; Lamiales; Oleaceae
Source: RNAcentral
AUCAGUUAUAUUUGUUUAAUGAUUUUGAAAAGCAGGGAAGUGACGAAUUUUUGCUAAAUUUGUGAGUGUUGUUUUAUGGGAUUGAAGAUUUUUUAAAAUUAUUCUUCAAGAUUUAUUAUUUUCUUUUUGUAGUGCAUUAAUAAAUAAUUUUUUGUAAUAAUGAUUUGAUGGAAUUAUAAAAUAGCUUAGAAUGAACGAAAGGAAAAGAAAUAACAUAUAAUCAAGAAUGAUAUGCUUAACUAUUUUUUUAGACAUUUAGAAAUUUACAACGAGAGAUUGAAUAACAUUAUCAAAUGUUUUUACUUUUCUGUAUCGACAUAUUAUCUAUUAUAGAAGUGAAUGGGUAAAAAUUAGAAAAAGUAGGGAAAGAAGAAAGCAUUAAAUGCAGUUUGUCUAAAUGAAAAUAUUGGAUUGGGAAAUGAGUAUUGUGUAUCUAUACUAUUGUGGAUUAAUGAAGAAAUUUGUACUUAUGAUUUUUGAUAUAAUAUAGGAAUAAUGACAGUUUUGAAAAGUUAUUAUAUUUAAACUAUAUGUUUUUGCAAGGUGAAC